CCUACGGGAGGCAGCAGUGAGGAAUAUUGGGCAAUGGACGAGAGUCUGAACCAGCAAAGCCGCGUGAAGGAUGAAUGCUCUCGGGGUGGUAAACUCCGUUGAUAGGGGAAAAAAAUGUCCCACGUGUGGGAUUUUGUACGUACCAUAUGAAUAAGGAUCGGCUAAGUUAGUGCCGUGAGACGAGGCAAUACGGAGGAUACGUGCGUUGUCCGGAUUGAUUGGGUGUAAAGGGAGCGUAGGGGGAUUGGUAAGUCAGAUGUGAAAGUCUGCGGCUCAACCGUAGAAGUGCAGUUGAAACUGGCAGUCUUGAGUACAGUAGAGGUGAGCGGAAUUCGUGGUGUAGCGGUGAAAUGCGUAGAUAUCAGGAGGAACUCCGGUUGCGAAGGCAGUUCACUGGACUGCAACUGACGCUGAGGCUCGAAAGUGUGGGUAUCAAACAGGAUUAGAUACCCUAGUAGUC
This 460-nucleotide ribosomal RNA is filed under the name uncultured bacterium. Its description in RNAcentral is "partial 16S ribosomal RNA". It matches the Rfam family "Bacterial small subunit ribosomal RNA", at positions 338 to 795 of the family's 1533-position model. The record is from RNAcentral.